Molecule: non-coding RNA, 25 nt
Filed under: Rattus norvegicus (Norway rat)
Lineage: Eukaryota; Metazoa; Chordata; Mammalia; Rodentia; Muridae
Source: RNAcentral
GAGAUUUUAUGGUGACUGAGUACUG